GUGGGGAAUAUUGGACAAUGGGGGGAACCCUGAUCCAGCCAUGCCGCGUGUGUGAAGAAGGCCUUUUGGUUGUAAAGCACUUUAAGCGAGGAGGAGGCUACCGAGAUUAAUACUCUUGGAUAGUGGACGUUACUCGCAGAAUAAGCACCGGCUAACUCUGUGCCAGCAGCCGCGGUAAUACAGAGGGUGCAAGCGUUAAUCGGAUUUACUGGGCGUAAAGCGCGAGUAGGUGGCCAAUUAAGUCAAAUGUGAAAUCCCCGAGCUUAACUUGGGAAUUGCAUUCGAUACUGGUUGGCUAGAGUAUGGGAGAGGAUGGUAGAAUUCCAGGUGUAGCGGUGAAAUGCGUAGAGAUCUGGAGGAAUACCGAUGGCGAAGGCAGCCAUCUGGCCUAAUACUGACACUGAGGUGCGAAAGCAUGGGGAGCAAACAGGAUUAGAACCCCUGUAGUCC
RNAcentral lists this ribosomal RNA (450 nucleotides) under uncultured bacterium. Its description in RNAcentral is "bacterial SSU rRNA". It matches the Rfam family "Bacterial small subunit ribosomal RNA", at positions 354 to 796 of the family's 1533-position model. The record is from RNAcentral.